Non-coding RNA from Caranx melampygus (bluefin trevally), 82 nucleotides. Lineage: Eukaryota; Metazoa; Chordata; Actinopteri; Carangiformes; Carangidae. The record is from the annotation of a GenBank genome assembly.
GCAGUUUUGGCCGAGUGGUCAUGGCGAUGGACUAGAAAUCCAUUGGGGUCUCCCUGCGCAGGUUCGAAUCCUGCCAACAACA